GAUGAACGCUGGCGGCGUGCCUAAUACAUGCAAGUCGAGCGAACGGACGAGAAGCUUGCUUCUCUGAUGUUAGCGGCGGACGGGUGAGUAACACGUGGAUAACCUACCUAUAAGACUGGGAUAGCUUCGGGAAACCGGAGCUAAUACCGGAUGAUAUAUUGAACCGCAUGGUUCAAAAGUGAAAGACGGUCUUGCUGUCACUUAUAGAUGGAUCCGCGCCGCAUUAGCUAGUUGGUAAGGUAACGGCUUACCAAGGCAACGAUGCAUAGCCGACCUGAGAGGGUGAUCGGCCACACUGGAACUGAGACACGGUCCAGACUCCUACGGGAGGCAGCAGUAGGGAAUCUUCCGCAAUGGGCGAAAGCCUGACGGAGCAACGCCGCGUGAGUGAUGAAGGUCUUCGGAUCGUAAAACUCUGUUAUUAGGGAAGAACAAAUGUGUAAGUAACUAUGCACAUCUUGACGGUACCUAAUCAGAAAGCCACGGCUAACUACGUG
This 497-nucleotide ribosomal RNA is filed under the name uncultured bacterium. RNAcentral describes it as "partial 16S ribosomal RNA". It matches the Rfam family "Bacterial small subunit ribosomal RNA", at positions 28 to 507 of the family's 1533-position model. The record is from RNAcentral.